RNAcentral lists this ribosomal RNA (819 nucleotides) under uncultured bacterium. Its description in RNAcentral is "bacterial SSU rRNA". It matches the Rfam family "Bacterial small subunit ribosomal RNA", at positions 54 to 863 of the family's 1533-position model. The record is from RNAcentral.
CAUGCAAGUCGAGGGGAAACGACAUCGAAAGCUUGCUUUUGAUGGGCGUCGACCGGCGCACGGGUGAGUAACGCGUAUCCAACCUGCCCACCACUUGGGGAUAACCUUGCGAAAGUAAGACUAAUACCCAAUGACGUCUCUAGAAGACAUCUGAAGGAGAUUAAAGAUUUAUCGGUGAUGGAUGGGGAUGCGUCUGAUUAGCUUGUUGGCGGGGUAACGGCCCACCAAGGCGACGAUCAGUAGGGGUUCUGAGAGGAAGGUCCCCCACAUUGGAACUGAGACACGGUCCAAACUCCUACGGGAGGCAGCAGUGAGGAAUAUUGGUCAAUGGACGAGAGUCUGAACCAGCCAAGUAGCGUGCAGGAUGACGGCCCUAUGGGUUGUAAACUGCUUUUAUAAGGGAAUAAAGUGAGUCUCGUGAGACUUUUUGCAUGUACCUUAUGAAUAAGGACCGGCUAAUUCCGUGCCAGCAGCCGCGGUAAUACGGAAGGUCCGGGCGUUAUCCGGAUUUAUUGGGUUUAAAGGGAGCGUAGGCCGGAGAUUAAGCGUGUUGUGAAAUGUAGGUGCUCAACAUCUGCACUGCAGCGCGAACUGGUUUCCUUGAGUACGCACAAAGUGGGCGGAAUUCGUGGUGUAGCGGUGAAAUGCUUAGAUAUCACGAAGAACUCCGAUUGCGAAGGCAGCUCACUGGAGCGCAACUGACGCUGAAGCUCGAAAGUGCGGGUAUCGAACAGGAUUAGAUACCCUGGUAGUCCGCACGGUAAACGAUGGAUGCCCGCUGUUGGUCUGAAUAGGUCAGCGGCCAAGCGAAAGCAUUAA